GAGGGAAGGCCCCUCGGAGCCGCCAUACAGGUGGAGGCUCCAAACCACCGUAAGCUGCUGUGGCCAAAAGCCAUGGUGGUGAGCGUUACGGAAAAGGCGAAGCAAGACUUCGUCAGGU
Non-coding RNA from Peptococcaceae bacterium BRH_c4b, 118 nucleotides. Lineage: Bacteria; Bacillati; Bacillota; Clostridia; Eubacteriales; Peptococcaceae. The record is from Rfam.